This 588-nucleotide ribosomal RNA is filed under the name uncultured bacterium. Its description in RNAcentral is "bacterial SSU rRNA". It matches the Rfam family "Bacterial small subunit ribosomal RNA", at positions 102 to 688 of the family's 1533-position model. The record is from RNAcentral.
ACGGGUGAGCAACGCGUGAGAAUCUACCACUCAGUGAGGAAUACCUCCGAGAAAUCGGGGUUAAUACUGCAUACGUCCCUGCGGGGAGAAAGAUGGCCUCUUUGCUGUCGCUGAUUGAUGAGCUUGCGUACUAUUAGCUUGUUGGUGAGGUAAAGGCUCACCAAGGCGAUGAUGGUUAACCGGCCUGAGAGGGUGUACGGUCACAUUGGAACUGAGACACGGUCCAGACUCCUACGGGAGGCAGCAGUGGGGAAUAUUGCGCAAUGGGCGAAAGCCUGACGCAGCGACGCCGCGUGGAGGAUGAAGGUCUUCGGAUUGUAAACUUCUGUUAAGUGGGAAAAAAGCCUUGCUCCUAAUACGAGCGAGGGAUGAUGGUACCACUAGAGAAAGCACCGGCUAAUCUCGUGCCAGCAGCCGCGGUAAUACGAGAGGUGCAAGCGUUAUUCGGAAUCAUUGGGCGUAAAGGGUGCGUAGACGGUGCGUUAAGUCUGUUGUUAAAUACCUCGGCUCAACCGAGGACAUGCAGCGGAUACUGGCGUGCUAGAGGGUGGAAGAGAGAAGUGGAAUUCUUGGAGUAGCGGUAAAAUG